UUUCCGCGAAACCUAUCUAAGUAGGCCAUUUAAAUAACAUCAUUGCAGGUACAGAAAUUUUUAGAUCUCAUUAAAAACUUACGUUAACUUCUUAUUAUUAAGUAUAUGAAGUAUUCGGGGAAUCGUGAAGAUUUUACUGGUGAGAAAUUAAUCUAGGAAUGGUAAUGAUGAAUGUUGAAUAAUCAGACAUAGAAUGCUAAGGUUGUAUGUCAAAAGGGAAACAGCCCACAACAAGUGUUAUAAUAAGGUUCCAAAAUUAUUAUUAAGUGAAAUCAAGGAAGUCUUUUGAUUUUAAUUCGAUCAGGAAAUAGGCUUAGAAGCAGCCAUUUUUUUGAAGACCUCGUAAUAGAGCACUGGUUAACAAUGUAAAAAGGCAUUGAAAAUUUAACGGAUCUAAAAUAAUAUACCGAAACCUUGUCUAUAGUUAUAAAUAUUUAUAUUGUAUAACUAUAGGGUAGCGGAACGUAGGGGAUAUAAAAGAAUUUGUUCUUUUUAAGAAAAAAUAAUAUAACUCUAGUG
This 519-nucleotide non-coding RNA is filed under the name Tuber melanosporum Mel28. RNAcentral's name for it is "Bacterial large subunit ribosomal RNA". It matches the Rfam family "Bacterial large subunit ribosomal RNA", at positions 854 to 1290 of the family's 2925-position model. Lineage: Eukaryota; Fungi; Ascomycota; Pezizomycetes; Pezizales; Tuberaceae. The record is from Rfam by way of RNAcentral.